Molecule: ribosomal RNA, 274 nt
Filed under: uncultured bacterium
Lineage: Bacteria
Description: partial 16S ribosomal RNA
Rfam family: Bacterial small subunit ribosomal RNA
Source: RNAcentral
AUACGGAAGGUGCAAGCGUUAUCCGGAAUCACUGGGUUUAAAGGGUGCGUAGGCGGCCCUGUCAGUCAGAGGUGAAAUCCUACGGCUUAACCGUAGCAUUGCCUUUGAUACUGCGAGGCUUGAAUCAGGCUGAGGUCAGCGGAAUGUGACAUGUAGCGGUGAAAUGCAUAGAUAUGUCAUAGAACACCAAUUGCGAAGGCAGCUGACUAGACCUAGAUUGACGCUGAGGCACGAAAGCGUGGGGAGCGAACAGGAUUAGAAACCCCAGUAGUCC